RNAcentral lists this ribosomal RNA (498 nucleotides) under uncultured bacterium. RNAcentral's name for it is "bacterial LSU rRNA". It matches the Rfam family "Bacterial large subunit ribosomal RNA", at positions 654 to 1150 of the family's 2925-position model. The record is from RNAcentral.
CGUAAGACGAAGCCGUAGCGAAAGUGAGUCCGAAAUGGGCGUACAGUCGCUGGGAGUAGACCCGAAACCCGGUGAUCUACCCCAUGUCCAGGAUGAAACGAGGGUAAAACCUCGUGGAGGUCCGAACUCACUACAGUGAAAAUGUAGGGGAUGAGGUGUGGGUCGGAGUGAAAGGCUAAUCAAACCGGGAGAUAGCUGGUUCUCGCCGAAAGAUAUUUAGGUAUCGCCUCGGAAAACUCUGUCGAGGAGGUAGAGCACUGGAUGGGCUAGGGGUCUUACCAGAUUACCAAACCCAACCAAACUCCUAAUGCCUCGACAUUUACUCCGGGAGUCAGGCUGUGGGAGCUAAGUUCCAUGGCCAAAAGGGAAAGAGCCCAGACCGCCAGCUAAGGUCCCUAAGUCGUUGCUAAGUGGUAAAGGAUGUGGAAGCACACAGACAACCAGGAGGUUGGCUUAGAAGCAGCCAUCCUUUAAAGAAAGCGUAAUAGCUCACUGGUC